AUAGUAGACGAAAUUGGGAACGGGCCCCAAUAAUAGUUAUUAGAUUUUUAAUAUAAUAACGUUAAUGGUUCGUCGUGUACGAUCCUCUGCGAGUUGUUUAUCUUCACAGCAGAUUACGUAAGUAAGAGUUUGGAGCAUUUAUAAAAUGGGACAACAUUUUGUUAGUAUU
Molecule: non-coding RNA, 169 nt
Filed under: unclassified sequences
Description: OTKONC RNA
Rfam family: OTKONC RNA
Source: Rfam by way of RNAcentral